This is a long non-coding RNA of Prosopis cineraria, 971 nucleotides long. RefSeq lists it as uncharacterized. NCBI's taxonomy places the organism in Eukaryota, Viridiplantae, Streptophyta, Magnoliopsida, Fabales, Fabaceae. The record is from RefSeq and is a predicted model, not a curated record. The transcript is spliced from 2 exons.
CAUUGCUAUAGAGACCACAAGACCUAUGCUGCCCACGAGUAGCUUUCGAUGACGAUGGUCGUGGAAGGCAAAAGCUGAGAUAAUAGCAGUGAUGCAGAACACUAGCAACACUGGUAUAGCUGUCAUGGCUACCUGCACCUGUAAUGGAAAAUCACCUUCAGUAACCAUAUCUUUUCUCCACCUGUACUUAGCAUGCCCAAGCAUGUGCGCAAGCUUACAGAAUAGAGUAAAAGAAAAUGGGAUGGCUUUUGGGCAUGUUCCUUUUGCUGUAGUGUUUCUUGUUUGGGUUAAGAAUGAAGGAAGAAGUUUGUAUGGAAGUUAGAACUUGCCUUUCCUUUGGCCGUAGCAUACCAGAAGUAGAUGAGAACAUAAGAUAGCUCAAGGGCGAUCCCGACGCCAUUAACGGUAACCAGAGGGAAAUUUUCCCAUUUGCAGCUCACAACAGGCAGUCCAUACCAAGUAAAGAGGAGACAGUUCAACAGCCCGAUGAUGUAGGGGAUGCAUGGGAACUCCUCUGUGCUUUUCUUCCUUAUGACCCUCCCAAAAGUGACCCUGAAGAAAGAAAUCGUAAAGGAACAGUCAAGGUUUCACAUUCUUCAAAGACAGGAAGAUGACAGAUGAGAGUAAAAUAGCAUAGCAUACGUGGGAGCAGCGUAAAGGGAAAUUGAGGCAGCAUUCCCUGCAAGAAGAACCCAGACGGUUCACUUUCUUGUUAAGAAGUCACAUUUAUCAGUAAUGCUAAGGAAUGAAGGAAUGAACAACCAAAUACCAAGAAUGGCGACGGCCAUGCGAAGGGUCUGUGCCAUCUUUAGUUCUCUUCAGUCUCUAGUAAAGAUGAGGCGAAUAAUGUGCAUCUCCAAGGAGAGCCAUGAGGUGCUAUAUAUAGCAACUCGGGGGUACUGUUCAGCAAACAGCCCUGCUCUCGAUGAUGUGGCUUCCAUUUUCUAGAGAUAUGGGAAUUUAUUAGACAA